UACGGGGGGUGCAAACGUUGCUCGGAAUCAUUGGGCGUAAAGCGCACGUAGGCGGCCUGUUAAGUCGGAUGUGAAAGCCCUGGGCUCAACCCAGGAAGUGCAUUCGAAACUGGCAGGCUUGAGUAUGGAAGAGGGUUGCGGAAUUCCCGGUGUAGAGGUGAAAUUCGUAGAUAUCGGGAGGAACACCAGUGGCGAAGGCGGCAACCUGGGCCAAUACUGACGCUGAGGUGCGAAAGCGUGGGGAGCAAACAGA
RNAcentral lists this ribosomal RNA (253 nucleotides) under uncultured prokaryote. Its description in RNAcentral is "partial 16S ribosomal RNA". It matches the Rfam family "Bacterial small subunit ribosomal RNA", at positions 524 to 776 of the family's 1533-position model. The record is from RNAcentral.